Molecule: ribosomal RNA, 422 nt
Filed under: Vibrio navarrensis
Lineage: Bacteria; Pseudomonadati; Pseudomonadota; Gammaproteobacteria; Vibrionales; Vibrionaceae
Description: bacterial SSU rRNA
Rfam family: Bacterial small subunit ribosomal RNA
Source: RNAcentral
UAAUUGAAGAGUUUGAUCAUGGCUCAGAUUGAACGCUGGCGGCAGGCCUAACACAUGCAAGUCGAGCGGCAGCACAGAGAAACUUGUUUCUCGGGUGGCGAGCGGCGGACGGGUGAGUAAUGCCUGGGAAAUUGCCCUGAUGUGGGGGAUAACCAUUGGAAACGAUGGCUAAUACCGCAUGAUGCCUACGGGCCAAAGAGGGGGACCUUCGGGCCUCUCGCGUCAGGAUAUGCCCAGGUGGGAUUAGCUAGUUGGUGAGGUAAGGGCUCACCAAGGCGACGAUCCCUAGCUGGUCUGAGAGGAUGAUCAGCCACACUGGAACUGAGACACGGUCCAGACUCCUACGGGAGGCAGCAGUGGGGAAUAUUGCACAAUGGGCGCAAGCCUGAUGCAGCCAUGCCGCGUGUGUGAAGAAGGCCUUC